UUAGUACGGCGAGUGAAGCGGUAAAAGCUCAAAUUUGAAAUCUGGUACUUUCAGUGCCCGAGUUGUAAUUUGUAGAAUUUGUCUUUGAUUAGGUCCUUGUCUAUGUUCCUUGGAACAGGACGUCAUAGAGGGUGAGAAUCCCGUUUGGCGAGGAUACCUUUUCUCUGUAAGACUUUUUCGAAGAGUCGAGUUGUUUGGGAAUGCAGCUCAAAGUGGGUGGUAAAUUCCAUCUAAAGCUAAAUAUUGGCGAGAGACCGAUAGCGAACAAGUACAGUGAUGGAAAGAUGAAAAGAACUUUGAAAAGAGAGUGAAAAAGUACGUGAAAUUGUUGAAAGGGAAGGGCAUUUGAUCAGACAUGGUGUUUUUUGCAUGCACUCGCCUCUCGUGGGCUUGGGCCUCUCAAAAAUUUCACUGGGCCAACAUCAAUUCUGGCAGCAGGAUAAAUCAUUAAGAAUGUAGCUACUUCGGUAGUGUUAUAGCUUUUUGGAAUACUGUUAGCCGGGAUUGAGGACUGCGCUUCGGCAAGGAUGUUGGCAUAAUGGUUAAAUGCCGCCCGUCUUGAAACACGGAACCA
RNAcentral lists this ribosomal RNA (574 nucleotides) under Hanseniaspora uvarum. RNAcentral describes it as "partial large subunit ribosomal RNA". It matches the Rfam family "Eukaryotic large subunit ribosomal RNA", at positions 80 to 669 of the family's 3401-position model. The record is from RNAcentral. Lineage: Eukaryota; Fungi; Ascomycota; Saccharomycetes; Saccharomycodales; Saccharomycodaceae.